AAAGAUGAGGCUAGCGCCUCUUUUCUAAAGAAAAACUCACGAGUCCCCUGUUUCAAAAUUGAUUACUCUGUGUUUCCUCUAUUCGGAACAACAAACAACAACCUUUUGGUUCUCGAUCUUACGGUUCAUCUACUCUCAUCGUAUCGGCCAUCAUCACUCUCUACCUCUCCGACGAACAAGAACAAUAACCAUGUAUCACAGUUUCACUCUUUCUUUUCUCACCGUCUCUCGUCGGAUUUUGAGGCUAACAAGCACAAUUUACAAAUCAGCAAGCAAUCAAAGAUAAUGAAAAUAAUCAUGAACGGAGAAAAUAAACAAAUCUACGGAAACACAAGCAUUCAAACGAUAAGGCAUUAUAGAGAGUAA
Molecule: non-coding RNA, 366 nt
Organism: Vicia faba (fava bean)
Lineage: Eukaryota; Viridiplantae; Streptophyta; Magnoliopsida; Fabales; Fabaceae
Source: the annotation of a GenBank genome assembly